UGUUCUGGGCUACACACGUGCUACAAUGGCCGGUACAGACGGAGGCGAAGCCGCGGAGGCGGAAGCCAAAAUCCGAAAAAGCCGGUCUCAGUUCGGAUUGCAGGCUGCAAUUCGCCUGCAUGAAGUCGGAAUCGCUAGUAAUCGCAGGUCAGCAUACUGCGGUGAAUACGUUCCCGGGCCUU
This 182-nucleotide ribosomal RNA is filed under the name uncultured Pelotomaculum sp. Its description in RNAcentral is "partial 16S ribosomal RNA". It matches the Rfam family "Bacterial small subunit ribosomal RNA", at positions 1205 to 1382 of the family's 1533-position model. The record is from RNAcentral. Lineage: Bacteria; Bacillati; Bacillota; Clostridia; Eubacteriales; Desulfotomaculaceae.